RNAcentral lists this ribosomal RNA (992 nucleotides) under Campylobacter coli. RNAcentral describes it as "bacterial SSU rRNA". It matches the Rfam family "Bacterial small subunit ribosomal RNA", at positions 541 to 1533 of the family's 1533-position model. The record is from RNAcentral. Lineage: Bacteria; Pseudomonadati; Campylobacterota; Epsilonproteobacteria; Campylobacterales; Campylobacteraceae.
UUACUCGGAAUCACUGGGCGUAAAGGGCGCGUAGGCGGAUUAUCAAGUCUCUUGUGAAAUCUAAUGGCUUAACCAUUAAACUGCUUGGGAAACUGAUAGUCUAGAGUGAGGGAGAGGCAGAUGGAAUUGGUGGUGUAGGGGUAAAAUCCGUAGAUAUCACCAAGAAUACCCAUUGCGAAGGCGAUCUGCUGGAACUCAACUGACGCUAAGGCGCGAAAGCGUGGGGAGCAAACAGGAUUAGAUACCCUGGUAGUCCACGCCCUAAACGAUGUACACUAGUUGUUGGGGUGCUAGUCAUCUCAGUAAUGCAGCUAACGCAUUAAGUGUACCGCCUGGGGAGUACGGUCGCAAGAUUAAAACUCAAAGGAAUAGACGGGGACCCGCACAAGCGGUGGAGCAUGUGGUUUAAUUCGAAGAUACGCGAAGAACCUUACCUGGGCUUGAUAUCCUAAGAACCUUUUAGAGAUAAGAGGGUGCUAGCUUGCUAGAACUUAGAGACAGGUGCUGCACGGCUGUCGUCAGCUCGUGUCGUGAGAUGUUGGGUUAAGUCCCGCAACGAGCGCAACCCACGUAUUUAGUUGCUAACGGUUCGGCCGAGCACUCUAAAUAGACUGCCUUCGUAAGGAGGAGGAAGGUGUGGACGACGUCAAGUCAUCAUGGCCCUUAUGCCCAGGGCGACACACGUGCUACAAUGGCAUAUACAAUGAGACGCAAUACCGCGAGGUGGAGCAAAUCUAUAAAAUAUGUCCCAGUUCGGAUUGUUCUCUGCAACUCGAGAGCAUGAAGCCGGAAUCGCUAGUAAUCGUAGAUCAGCCAUGCUACGGUGAAUACGUUCCCGGGUCUUGUACUCACCGCCCGUCACACCAUGGGAGUUGAUUUCACUCGAAGCCGGAAUACUAAACUAGUUACCGUCCACAGUGGAAUCAGCGACUGGGGUGAAGUCGUAACAAGGUAACCGUAGGAGAACCUGCGGUUGGAUCACCUCCUUUCUA